AUACGUAGGGGGCGAGCGUUGUCCGGAAUGAUUGGGCGUAAAGGGCGCGUAGGCGGCGCGGUAAGUCUGGAGUGAAAGUCCUGCUUUCAAGGUGGGAAUUGCUUUGGAUACUGCCGCGCUUGAGUGCAGGAGAGGUUAUCGGAAUUCCCGGUGUAGCGGUGAAAUGCGUAGAGAUCGGGAGGACCACCAGUGGCGAAGGCGGGUAACUGGCCUACAACUGACGCUGAGGCGCGAAAGUGUGGGGAGCAAACAGGAUUAGAUACCCUGGUAGUCCCUACUGUAAACGAUGAAUGCUAGGUGUAAGAGGAAUCGACCCCUUUUGUGCCGGAGUCAACACAAUAAGCAUUCCGCCUGGGGAGUACGGCCGCAAGGUUGAAACUCAAAGGAAUUGACGGGG
RNAcentral lists this ribosomal RNA (397 nucleotides) under uncultured bacterium. RNAcentral's name for it is "partial 16S ribosomal RNA". It matches the Rfam family "Bacterial small subunit ribosomal RNA", at positions 523 to 918 of the family's 1533-position model. The record is from RNAcentral.